This 106-nucleotide microRNA precursor is filed under the name Corchorus capsularis. Its description in RNAcentral is "pre miRNA MIR477". Lineage: Eukaryota; Viridiplantae; Streptophyta; Magnoliopsida; Malvales; Malvaceae. The record is from RNAcentral.
GAACUUUUCGAUUUGGGUCAAUUCAGUCCAAAAUGUUAGAUUAUAAAUCUGUUAAAUGUAAAUAAUCGAAAACAUUUUGGACUGAAUUGACCCAAAUCGAAAAGUU